AAAGACUGACGCUCAUGCACGAAAGCGUGGGGAGCAACCAGGAUUAGAUGCCCUGGUAGUACACGCCGUAAUCGAUGUCGACUGGUUGUUGGGGGUUAGACACUCUCAGUAACGAAGCUAACGCGUGAAGUCGUCCGCCUGGGGAGUACGGCGGCAACGUUGAAACUCAAAGGAAUUGACGGGGGCCCGCACAAGCGGAGGAGCAUGUGGUUUAAUUCGAUGAUACGCGAGGAACCUUACCUGGGCUUAAAUGUAGGACGACGUUUCGUGAAAGCGGAAUUUCCUUCGGGACGUCUUACAAGGUGCUGCAUGGUUGUCGUCAGCUCGUGCCGUGAGGUGUCGGGUUAAGCCCCAUAACGAGCGCAACCCCUAUCAUUAGUUGCCAUCAGGUCAAGCUGGGAACUCUAAUGAAACUGCCUACGCAAGUAGUGAGGAAGGUGGGGAUGACGUCAAAUCAGCACGGCCCUUAUGUCCAGGGCGACACACGUGCUACAAUGGCCAGUACAGAGGGUUGCAAA
RNAcentral lists this ribosomal RNA (518 nucleotides) under uncultured bacterium. RNAcentral's name for it is "bacterial SSU rRNA". It matches the Rfam family "Bacterial small subunit ribosomal RNA", at positions 735 to 1253 of the family's 1533-position model. The record is from RNAcentral.